GACGAACGCUGGCGGCGCGCCUAACACAUGCAAGUCGAACGAGCGAGAGAGAGCUUGCUUUCUCGAGCGAGUGGCGAACGGGUGAGUAACGCGUGAGGAACCUGCCUCAAAGAGGGGGACAACAGUUGGAAACGACUGCUAAUACCGCAUAAGCCCACGGCUCGGCAUCGAGCAGAGGGAAAAGGAGCAAUCCGCUUUGAGAUGGCCUCGCGUCCGAUUAGCUAGUUGGUGAGGUAACGGCCCACCAAGGCAACGAUCGGUAGCCGGACUGAGAGGUUGAACGGCCACAUUGGGACUGAGACACGGCCCAGACUCCUACGGGAGGCAGCAGUGGGGAAUAUUGCACAAUGGGGGAAACCCUGAUGCAGCGACGCCGCGUGGAGGAAGAAGGUCUUCGGAUUGUAAACUCCUGUUGUUGGGGAAGAUAAUGACGGUACCCAACAAGGAAGUGACGGCUAACUACGUGCCAGCAGCCGCGGUAAAACGUAGGUCACAAGCGUUGUCCGGAAUUACUGGGUGUAAAGGGAGCGCAGGCGGGAAGACAAGUUGGAAGUGAAAUCUAUGGGCUCAACCCAUAAACUGCUUUCAAAACUGUUUUUCUUGAGUAGUGCAGAGGUAGGCGGAAUUCCCGGUGUAGCGGUGGAAUGCGUAGAUAUCGGGAGGAACACCAGUGGCGGAGGCGGCCUACUGGGCACCAACUGACGCUGAGGCUCGAAAGUGUGGGUAGCAAACAGGAUUAGAUACCCUGGUAGUCCACACCGUAAACGAUGAUUACUAGGUGUUGGAGGAUUGACCCCUUCAGUGCCGCAGUUAACACAAUAAGUAAUCCACCUGGGGAGUACGACCGCAAGGUUGAAACUCAAAGGAAUUGACGGGGGCCCGCACAAGCAGUGGAGUAUGUGGUUUAAUUCGACGCAACGCGAAGAACCUUACCAAGUCUUGACAUCCCUUGACAGGCAUAGAAAUAUGUUUUCUCUUCGGAGCAAGGAGACAGGUGGUGCAUGGUUGUCGUCAGCUCGUGUCGUGAGAUGUUGGGUUAAGUCCCGCAACGAGCGCAACCCUUAUGGUCAGUUACUACGCAAGAGGACUCUGGCCAGACUGCCGUUGACAAAACGGAGGAAGGUGGGGAUGACGUCAAAUCAUCAUGCCCUUUAUGACUUGGGCUACACACGUACUACAAUGGCGUUAAACAAAGAGAAGCAAGACCGCGAGGUGAAGCAAAACUCAGAAACAACGUCCCAGUUCGGACUGCAGGCUGCAACUCGCCUGCACGAAGUCGGAAUUGCUAGUAAUCGUGGAUCAGCAUGCCACGGUGAAUACGUUCCCGGGCCU
This 1332-nucleotide ribosomal RNA is filed under the name uncultured bacterium. RNAcentral describes it as "bacterial SSU rRNA". It matches the Rfam family "Bacterial small subunit ribosomal RNA", at positions 28 to 1381 of the family's 1533-position model. The record is from RNAcentral.